CCUACGGGGUGCAGCAGUGAGGAAUAUUGGUCAAUGGGCUUACGCAUGAACCAGCCAAGUCGCGUGAGGGAAGACUGCCCUAUGGGUUGUAAACCUCUUUUGUCAGGGAGCAACGCCGGCUACGUGUAGCCGGACUGAGAGUACCUGAAGAAAAAGCAUCGGCUAACUCCGUGCCAGCAGCCGCGGUAAUACGGAGGAUGCGAGCGUUAUCCGGAUUUAUGGGGUUUAAAGGGUGCGUAGGCGGAAUGCCAAGUCAGCGGUAAAAUCGCGGGGCUCAACCUCGCUCCGCCGUUGAAACUGGCGUUCUUGAGUGGGCGAGAAGUAUGCGGAAUGCGUGGUGUAGCGGUGAAAUGCAUAGAUAUCACGCAGAACUCCGAUUGCGAAGGCAGCAUACCGGCGCCCAACUGACGCUGAAGCACGAAAGCGUGGGUAUCGAACAGGAUUAGAUACCCUUGUAGUC
Molecule: ribosomal RNA, 460 nt
Filed under: uncultured bacterium
Lineage: Bacteria
Description: partial 16S ribosomal RNA
Rfam family: Bacterial small subunit ribosomal RNA
Source: RNAcentral